RNAcentral lists this ribosomal RNA (444 nucleotides) under uncultured bacterium. RNAcentral's name for it is "partial 16S ribosomal RNA". It matches the Rfam family "Bacterial small subunit ribosomal RNA", at positions 338 to 795 of the family's 1533-position model. The record is from RNAcentral.
CCUACGGGCGGCUGCAGUGGGGGAUAUUGGACAAUGGGGGGGAACCCUGAUCCAGCGACGCCGCGUGAGUGAAGAAGUAUUUCGGUAUGUAAAGCUCUGUCAGCAGGGAAGAAAGCAAUGAAGGUACCUGACCAAGAAGCCCCGGCUAACUACGUGCCAGCAGCCGCGGGAAUACGUAGGGGGCAAGCGUUAACCGGAAUUACUGGGUGUAAAGGGAGCGUAGACGGCUGUGCAAGUCUGGAGUGAAAGGCGGGGGCCCAACCCCCGGACUGCUCUUGAAACUGUAUGGCUGGAGUGCAGGAGAGGUAAGCGGAAGUCCUAGUGUAGCGGUGAAAUGCGUAGAUAUUAGGAGGAACACCAGUGGCGAAGGCGGCUGACUGGACUGUAACUGACGUUGAGGCUCGAAAGCGUGGGGAGCAAACAGGAUUAGAUACCCCAGUAGUC